This 600-nucleotide ribosomal RNA is filed under the name uncultured bacterium. Its description in RNAcentral is "bacterial SSU rRNA". It matches the Rfam family "Bacterial small subunit ribosomal RNA", at positions 81 to 677 of the family's 1533-position model. The record is from RNAcentral.
CGGUCUGGUGGCGAGUGGCGAACGGGUGAGUAAUGUAUCGGAACGUGCCCAGUAGCGGGGGAUAACUACGCGAAAGCGUAGCUAAUACCGCAUACGCCCUACGGGGGAAAGCAGGGGAUCGCAAGACCUUGCACUAUUGGAGCGGCCGAUAUCGGAUUAGCUAGUUGGUGGGGUAACGGCUCACCAAGGCGACGAUCCGUAGCUGGUUUGAGAGGACGACCAGCCACACUGGGACUGAGACACGGCCCAGACUCCUACGGGAGGCAGCAGUGGGGAAUUUUGGACAAUGGGGGAAACCCUGAUCCAGCCAUCCCGCGUGUGCGAUGAAGGCCUUCGGGUUGUAAAGCACUUUUGGCAGGAAAGAAACGUCAUGGGUUAAUACCCCGUGAAACUGACGGUACCUGCAGAAUAAGCACCGGCUAACUACGUGCCAGCAGCCGCGGUAAUACGUAGGGUGCAAGCGUUAAUCGGAAUUACUGGGCGUAAAGCGUGCGCAGGCGGUUCGGAAAGAAAGAUGUGAAAUCCCAGAGCUUAACUUUGGAACUGCAUUUUUAACUACCGGGCUAGAGUGUGUCAGAGGGAGGUGGAAUUCCGCGUGUA